This 602-nucleotide ribosomal RNA is filed under the name Aesopia cornuta. RNAcentral describes it as "partial large subunit ribosomal RNA". It matches the Rfam family "Bacterial large subunit ribosomal RNA", at positions 1836 to 2630 of the family's 2925-position model. The record is from RNAcentral. Lineage: Eukaryota; Metazoa; Chordata; Actinopteri; Pleuronectiformes; Soleidae.
CUUCCCGUCAUUAGAGGUCCUGCCUGCCCAGUGACACUAAGUUAAACGGCCGCGGUAUUUUGACCGUGCAAAGGUAGCGCAAUCACUUGUCUUUUAAAUGAAGACCCGUAUGAAUGGCAAGACGAGGGCUUAACUGUCUCCUUUUUCCAGUCAAUGAAAUUGAUCUUCCCGUGCAGAAGCGGGAAUACGCCCAUAAGACGAGAAGACCCUGUGGAGCUUGAGACAAUAGAACCGCCCACGUCAAUCACUGCAAAAUAAAGCCAAACAAACUAAUUGGUUUCUGUUCUAAUGUUUUCGGUUGGGGCGACCAUGGGGAACAACAAAACCCCCACGUGGACUGGGAACAACCUCCACACUCCUCCAAAUCAGAGGGACACCUCUAAUUACCAGAACUUCUGACCUUAAAUGAUCCGGCAAUGCCGAUCAACGAACUAAGUUACCCCAGGGAUAACAGCGCAAUCCCCUUUUAGAGCCCAUAUCGACAAGGGGGUUUACGACCUCGAUGUUGGAUCAGGACAUCCUAGUGGUGCAGCAGCUACUAAGGGUUCGUUUGUUCAACGAUUAAAGUCCUAGAGUGAUCUGAUUUCAGACCGGGGGAAGGG